This 253-nucleotide ribosomal RNA is filed under the name uncultured bacterium. RNAcentral describes it as "partial 16S ribosomal RNA". It matches the Rfam family "Bacterial small subunit ribosomal RNA", at positions 524 to 776 of the family's 1533-position model. The record is from RNAcentral.
UACGAAGGGGGCUAGCGUUGCUCGGAAUUACUGGGCGUAAAGGGCGCGUAGGCGGACAGUUUAGUCAGAGGUGAAAGCCCAGGGCUCAACCUUGGAACUGCCUUUGAUACUGGCUGUCUUGAGUUCGGGAGAGGUGAGUGGAAUGCCGAGUGUAGAGGUGAAAUUCGUAGAUAUUCGGCGGAACACCAGUGGCGAAGGCGACUCACUGGCCCGAUACUGACGCUGAGGCGCGAAAGCGUGGGGAGCAAACAGA